This 679-nucleotide ribosomal RNA is filed under the name Chondrostereum purpureum. RNAcentral describes it as "eukaryotic LSU rRNA". The stretch from base 260 to 413 matches the Rfam family "5.8S ribosomal RNA". Lineage: Eukaryota; Fungi; Basidiomycota; Agaricomycetes; Agaricales; Cyphellaceae. The record is from RNAcentral.
AGGAUCAUUAUUGAAUGUACUUGCAAUAGGUUGAAGCUGACUUUUUGGAGUAUGUGCUCGCCUUUUGUAACUUACUACUUUUCCACUUGUGAACCUUUGUAGACUAUGAAUGAAAUAAACUCAUCUGAAAAUGAUGGUUAGAGAGGUUUGUUCUUACAGAGCAUCCUUUUGUUAGUAGUUCAUAGUCUAUGUUAUAUUUACCCUUGAUUGAAUGUUAAUGAAUGUCAUUUUACUGGUCUUUGACCUUUAAACUUAAUACAACUUUCAGCAACGGAUCUCUUGGCUCUCGCAUCGAUGAAGAACGCAGCGAAAUGCGAUAAGUAAUGUGAAUUGCAGAAUUCAGUGAAUCAUCGAAUCUUUGAACGCACCUUGCGCUCCUUGGUAUUCCGAGGAGCAUGCCUGUUUGAGUGUCAUUAAAUUCUCAACCUUAUCAGUUUUUUAUUAAAUUGGUUCAAGGCUUGGAUUUUGGGAGUUGCAGGCUUCUCUUUUGAAGUCAGCUCUUCUUAAAUGUAUUAGUGGAGACUUGUAACCGUCGCCUUGGUGUGAUAAUUAUCUGCGCCUUGGUGUAUUGGUGACUAGUAAUGUCUUUGCUUAUAACAGUCCAUUAGAUUGGACAAUCACUUUAUGACUUUUGACCUCAAAUCAGGUAGGACUACCCGCUGAACUUAAGCAUAUCAAU